Molecule: ribosomal RNA, 253 nt
Filed under: uncultured bacterium
Lineage: Bacteria
Description: partial 16S ribosomal RNA
Rfam family: Bacterial small subunit ribosomal RNA
Source: RNAcentral
UACGUAGGGUGCGAGCGUUGUCCGGAAUUAUUGGGCGUAAAGGGCUCGUAGGCGGUUUGUCGCGUCGGGAGUGAAAACACCGGGCUUAACUCGGUGCUGGCUUUCGAUACGGGCAGACUAGAGGUAUUCAGGGGAGAACGGAAUUCCUGGUGUAGCGGUGAAAUGCGUAGAUAUCAGGAGGAACACCGGUGGCGAAGGCGGGUCUCUGGGCCGUAACUGACGCUGAGGAGCGAAAGCGUGGGGAGCGAACAGG